UUUGUUUGGUGGCUGAGUAUACAAGCAAUAGACUGUAGAUCUAUUAACGGAGUUAAAUUUCCCCAACAAAA
RNAcentral lists this transfer RNA (71 nucleotides) under Euspira pila. Its description in RNAcentral is "tRNA-Tyr". It matches the Rfam family "tRNA". Rfam says of the family: Transfer RNA (tRNA) molecules are approximately 80 nucleotides in length. Their secondary structure includes four short double-helical elements and three loops (D, anti-codon, and T loops). Lineage: Eukaryota; Metazoa; Mollusca; Gastropoda; Littorinimorpha; Naticidae. The record is from RNAcentral.